Molecule: long non-coding RNA, 1731 nt
Organism: Motacilla alba alba
Lineage: Eukaryota; Metazoa; Chordata; Aves; Passeriformes; Motacillidae
Exons: 3
Source: RefSeq, a predicted model, not a curated record
UACUGUGCAACAGCGUUCAGAGAAGAGGAGAUUGAGAAUACAUGAGAAACACAGCCCCACCCACACCAAAUUCAGUGAAGGAGAGGGACAAGGUGCUCCAGGUGCCAGAGCAGAGUUUCCCCUGCAGCCUGUGGUGGGGAGACCAUGGUGGGUCAGGCAUGCAGCCCAUGGAGGUCCAUGGGGGAGUAGAUAUCCCUAUGUGCAGCCUGUGGAGGACCCCAGUUCCAGCACAGGUGGAUGUCUAAAGGAAGCUAUGACCCUGUGGGAAGCCCACGUUGGAACAGGCUCCUAGUGGGUCCUGUGGCCCCAUGGAGAGAAGAGCCCACACUACAGCAUGUUUGCUGGCAGGACUUUGUCCCCCGUGAAGUAUCCACACUGCAGCAAUUUGUUCCUGAAGGACUGCACCCUGUGGAAAGGGACCCAUGCUGGAGAUGAUGAACUCAAGCAGUUCAUGAUGAACUGCAGCCUGUGGGAAAGACUCACAUUGGAGAAGCUUAUGAAAAAUUGCCUUCUAUGGGAGGGACCCCAUACUGGAGCAGAAGAAGAGUGUGAGGAGUCCUUCCUCCUCAGAAGAAGGAGCAGCAGAGGCAAUAUGUAUGAACUGACAGCACUCUUCGUUCCCUGUCAUCCUGUGCCACUGGAGGAAGAGAAAGAGAACACGGGGGGUAAAGAGAGGCUCAGGGCUGAGCUCCUGCAAAAGUGUGGCAGUUGGAGCAGUUACAACUCCACUGGAUAAUUUGUCUCUUCCACUCAAAAGGUUUCAAAGCCCAUAACUCCAAACUACAAGCAAGAUCAUGGCACUGUUGGAGACAUGCCAUUGCACAGGUGAAAAUCUUUGAAUUAACCAGAUAAUGGAAAAAAAGAGGAGCUUCUGUAACUGCAGCUAUGACAUGGCAAGGAAGAUGUCUGUCCUGGUCCUUGUUGGAAUAACUGUCCCAAAUGAUUUAAAAAGCCCAGGAAAGUUUCCCACCUAUUGAGACCAGCAUCAGCUAAAUGCUCUUAAAGAAGCAAAAUCCAGGCCCAAAUGCUCUUUCUCCUGCCUUCAACUCUCUAUCUCCUGCCUUCUGCCUGUAGGGAAGAACCCCAGAACUGCGUUGAUGCUGUAUUUUCAAUAUCAAAUUCACUGUUACUUCAGGAGAGAACUAAUAAAAGUGAAGAUUUUAAACAAUUUAAACUUAAUUUAUUUAAUUACUGAAUUCUAACAGAGCCUUUUGGAUUUGGACUAUCCUGUUCAAAGAGUGUUCUCUGGAACACUCUAGCAAUUUUAAGAGAGAUCAAAUGCCAUUCUCUGAGAGUAAUGUCCUUGCUACAGACUUUCACUUUAUAUUUUAGAUCAACUUUCCCCUCAAAAAAACCUCUGCUUAUUCACACAAUUAAUAGUUUUGAAAACUGAACCCUGUUUGUUAGCCACAGGGCAGCCUGGCUGCAGGCACCAGCAAAACAAUAAAUACCUUAUAUUUCCUGACCAGAGGCUCUUGAGUCUGACUUGACAUGAUAAACAGCAGGGUCUAGAUGGCUAGUCAUAUCUCCUAAAUUUGCCUUGCUUCGGCAAACAGAUAACAUUUGUGCUAGAUUUAGAUGUUUUGAAUCCUUUUUUCACUGUGCUAACUUUCUUCUUCCAUAAGAUCCCUAAAGAGCAGGGAUUUUUCAUCUCACCUGGAUGUUCUUGAGAGAGGAUGCAAAUUUGACUGGGCCAAAUUCAACAUGGUAAUCCAACAAAAAAAUGCCAUG